UUACCGAGUUUACAAACUCCCAAACCCCUGUGAACUUAUACCUUUACGUUGCUUCGGCGGGACUCGCCCCGGCUGCCCUCGCGGCGGACCGGACCCAGGCGCCCGCCGGAGGACCCAAACUCUUCUGUCUUUUAUAGCGGCAUGUCUGAGUGGAUUUUUAUACAAAUGAAUCAAAACUUUCAACAACGGAUCUCUUGGUUCUGGCAUCGAUGAAGAACGCAGCGAAAUGCGAUAAGUAAUGUGAAUUGCAGAAUUCAGUGAAUCAUCGAAUCUUUGAACGCACAUUGCGCCCGCCAGUAUUCUGGCGGGCAUGCCUGUUCGAGCGUCAUUUCAACCCUCAAGCCCCCGCUUGGUGUUGGGUGCCGGCGCCGGCGCCUGCGAGUCUUCUCGCAGCAGCGCCCGCCGCCCCCGAAAUUGAUUGGCGGUCUCGUCGCGACCUCCCUUGCGUAGUAACAUACCACCUCGCAUGGCGGAGCGCGGCGCGGCCACGCCGUAAAACAACCCAAUUUCUCAGAGUUGACCUCGGAUCAGGUAGGAAUACCCGCUGAACUUAAGCAUAUCAAUAAGCGGAGGAAAAGAAACCAACAGGGAUUGCCCCAGUAACGGCGAGUGAAGCGGCAACAGCUCAAAUUUGAAAUCUGGCCCUAGGCCCGAGUUGUAAUUUGCAGAGGAUGCUUUUGGCGCGGUGCCUUCCGAGUGCCCUGGAACGGGACGCCAUAGAGGGUGAGAGCCCCAUCUGGUUGGACACCAAGCCUAUGUAAAGCUCCUUCGAC
Molecule: ribosomal RNA, 773 nt
Filed under: fungal sp.
Lineage: Eukaryota; Fungi
Description: eukaryotic LSU rRNA
Rfam family: Eukaryotic large subunit ribosomal RNA (bases 518-773)
Source: RNAcentral